GAUGAACGCUGGCGGCGUGCCUAAUACAUGCAAGUCGAGCGAACAGAUAAGGAGCUUGCUCCUUUGACGUUAGCGGCGGACGGGUGAGUAACACGUGGGUAACCUACCUAUAAGACUGGGAUAACUUCGGGAAACCGGAGCUAAUACCGGAUAACAUUUGGAACCGCAUGGUUCUAAAGUGAAAGAUGGUUUUGCUAUCAUUUAUAGAUGGACCCGCGCCGUAUUAGCUAGUUGGUAAGGUAACGGCUUACCAAGGCAACGAUACGUAGCCGACCUGAGAGGGUGAUCGGCCACACUGGAACUGAGACACGGACCAGACUCCUACGGGAGGCAGCAGUAGGGAAUCUUCCGCAAUGGGCGAAAGCCUGACGGAGCAACGCCGCGUGAGUGAUGAAGGGUUUCGGCUCGUAAAACUCUGUUAUUAGGGAAGAACAAACGUGUAAGUAACUGUGCACGUCUUGACGGUACCUAAUCAGAAAGCCACGGCUAACUACGUG
This 497-nucleotide ribosomal RNA is filed under the name uncultured bacterium. RNAcentral describes it as "partial 16S ribosomal RNA". It matches the Rfam family "Bacterial small subunit ribosomal RNA", at positions 28 to 507 of the family's 1533-position model. The record is from RNAcentral.